AGAGUUUGAUCAUGGCUCAGGAUUAACGCUAGCGGCAGGCCUAAUACAUGCAAGUCGAACGGCAGCACGAGUAGCAAUACUUGGUGGCGAGUGGCGCACGGGUGCGUAACACGUAUGCAAUCUACCCUUAACUGGGGGAUAGCCCCGAGAAAUCGGGAUUAAUGCCCCAUAACAUUAUGAAGUGGCAUCAUUUUAUAAUUAAAGCUCCGGCGGUUUUGGAUGAGCAUGCGCGGCAUUAGCUAGUUGGUGAGGUAACGGCUCACCAAGGCUUCGAUGUCUAGGGGUUCUGAGAGGAUUCACCCCCACACUGGUACUGAGACACGGACCAGACUCCUACGGGAGGCAGCAGUAAGGAAUAUUGGUCAAUGGACGCAAGUCUGAACCAGCCAUGCCGCGUGAAGGAUGACGGCCCUACGGGUUGUAAACUUCUUUUGUACGGGAAAAAACCUUCGGUCGUGAACCGGAGCUGAUGGUACCGUAAGAAUAAGGAUCGGCUAACUCCGUGCCAGCAGCCGCGGUAAUACGGAGGAUCCAAGCGUUAUCCGGAUUCAUUGGGUUUAAAGGGUGCGCAGGCGGAAUGAUAAGUCAGUGGUGAAAUCUCUCGGCUCAACUGAGAAACUGCCAUUGAUACUGUCGUUCUUGAGUACACUUGGAGUGGGCGGAAUGUGUCAUGUAGCGGUGAAAUGCUUAGAUAUGACACAGAACACCGAUCGCGAAGGCAGCUCACUAAAUUGUAACUGACGCUCAGGCACGAAAGCGUGGGGAUCAAACAGGAUUAGAUACCCUGGUAGUCC
RNAcentral lists this ribosomal RNA (794 nucleotides) under uncultured bacterium. Its description in RNAcentral is "bacterial SSU rRNA". It matches the Rfam family "Bacterial small subunit ribosomal RNA", at positions 8 to 796 of the family's 1533-position model. The record is from RNAcentral.